Molecule: non-coding RNA, 21 nt
Filed under: Caenorhabditis elegans
Lineage: Eukaryota; Metazoa; Nematoda; Chromadorea; Rhabditida; Rhabditidae
Source: RNAcentral
UCUACGACGAGACGCAUUUUC